AUACUUACCUGGCAGGGGAGAUACAGGGUCACGAAGGUGGUUUCCCCAGGGCGUGGCUUAUCCAUUGCAUUCUGGAUGUGCUGACUCCUGCGAUUUCCCCAAAUGUGGGAAACUGCAUAAUUUAUGGUAGUGGGGGACUGGGUUCAUGCUCUCCCCUU
Molecule: small nuclear RNA, 158 nt
Organism: Erinaceus europaeus (western European hedgehog)
Lineage: Eukaryota; Metazoa; Chordata; Mammalia; Eulipotyphla; Erinaceidae
Gene: U1
Rfam family: U1 spliceosomal RNA
About the family: U1 is a small nuclear RNA (snRNA) component of the spliceosome (involved in pre-mRNA splicing). Its 5' end forms complementary base pairs with the 5' splice junction, thus defining the 5' donor site of an intron.
Source: Ensembl